This 466-nucleotide ribosomal RNA is filed under the name uncultured Leptolinea sp. Its description in RNAcentral is "bacterial SSU rRNA". It matches the Rfam family "Bacterial small subunit ribosomal RNA", at positions 900 to 1382 of the family's 1533-position model. Lineage: Bacteria; Bacillati; Chloroflexota; Anaerolineae; Anaerolineales; Anaerolineaceae. The record is from RNAcentral.
CUCAAAGGAAUUGACGGACCCGCACAAGCAGCGGAGCGUGUGGUUUAAUUCGAGGCUACACGAAGAACCUUACCAGGGUUUGACAUGCAAGUGGUAGGAAUCCGAAAGGUGACCGACCCUUCGGGAGCUUGCACAGGUGCUGCAUGGCUGUCGUCAGCUCGUGUCGUGAGACGUUCGGUUAAGUCCGCUAACGAGCGCAACCCUCGUCGUGUGUUAUACGUGUCACACGAUACUGCCGGUAUCAAGCCGGAGGAAGGUGGGGAUGAUGUCAAGUCAGCAUGGCCUUUAUAUCCUGGGCUACACACACGCUACAAUGGCAGAUACAAUAGGUUGCGAAACCGCGAGGUGGAGCCAAUCCUCAAAGUCUGUCUCAGUUCAGAUUGUAGGCUGCAACUCGCCUGCAUGAAGUUGGAGUUGCUAGUAAACGCAGGUCAGCUAUACUGCGUUGAAUACGUUCCCGGGGUUU